This 557-nucleotide ribosomal RNA is filed under the name uncultured bacterium. RNAcentral's name for it is "bacterial SSU rRNA". It matches the Rfam family "Bacterial small subunit ribosomal RNA", at positions 102 to 694 of the family's 1533-position model. The record is from RNAcentral.
ACGGGUGAGUAACGCGUGGGAAUCUACCGUACCCUACGGAAUAGCUCCGGGAAACUGGAAGUAAUACCGUAUACGCCCGAAAGGGGAAAGAUUUAUCGGGGUAUGAUGAGCCCGCGUUGGAUUAGCUAGUUGGUGGGGUAAAGGCCUACCAAGGCGACGAUCCAUAGCUGGUCUGAGAGGAUGAUCAGCCACAUUGGGACUGAGACACGGCCCAAACUCCUACGGGAGGCAGCAGUGGGGAAUAUUGGACAAUGGGCGCAAGCCUGAUCCAGCCAUGCCGCGUGAGUGAUGAAGGUCUUAGGAUUGUAAAGCUCUUUCACCGAUGAAGAUAAUGACGGUAGUCGGAGAAGAAGCCCCGGCAAACUUCGUGCCAGCAGCCGCGGUAAUACGAAGGGGGCUAGCGUUGUUCGGAAUUACUGGGCGUAAAGCGCACGUAGGCGGAUAAUUAAGUCAGGGGUGAAAUCCCGCAGCUCAACUGCGGAACUGCCUUUGAUACUGGUUAUCUUGAGUAUGGAAGAGGUAAGUGGAAUUGCGAGUGUAGAGGUGAAAUUCGUAGA